UACGUAGGGUGCGAGCGUUAAUCGGAAUUACUGGGCGUAAAGCGUGCGCAGGCGGUGCUGUAGGACAGGCGUGAAAUCCCUGGGCUCAACCCAGGAACUGCGUCCGAUACUGGAAGGCUUGAAUCCGGGAGAGGGAUGCGGAAUUCCAGGUGUAGCGGUGAAAUGCGUAGAUAUCUGGAGGAACACCGGUGGCGAAGGCGACUACCUGGCCUGUUCUUGACGCUGAGGCGCGAAAGCUAGGGGAGCAAACGGG
RNAcentral lists this ribosomal RNA (253 nucleotides) under uncultured bacterium. RNAcentral describes it as "partial 16S ribosomal RNA". It matches the Rfam family "Bacterial small subunit ribosomal RNA", at positions 524 to 776 of the family's 1533-position model. The record is from RNAcentral.